Molecule: small RNA, 686 nt
Filed under: Pongo abelii (Sumatran orangutan)
Lineage: Eukaryota; Metazoa; Chordata; Mammalia; Primates; Hominidae
Description: processed transcript
Source: RNAcentral
CAGAGGCAGAGGAGGGAGCGAGGAGGUGAGACCCGCUCCACCCUGCUCGCCUAGGCUCGGCGGAGGCUAAGAGCAGGGCAGCCUCCUCUGUCCGGCGCCCGCUGAGCCCCGGCAUCUGGAACUCAGGGCCCUGGCGCUCCAGGGACGGGAACUGGCCGGGAAGACCGCGCGGGAGAGCACGGAUGGGCACCCUGGGCUCGAUCUUCUCACCUGGGGCGGGUGGGUGCUGCACUACCCUCUCACCCUCCUUCCUCCGUGUGGACGACAGAGCCACAUCCAGCACCACGGACAGCUCCCGGGCGAUCCCAUGGGAGUAGAAGAGGUGUGAGCAGGUUGCCCAGCUGGUUAGCGGAAAUGCCAAGAUUCAGGCUCCUGAAUUUCAGCCUGGCCCUUUUUAUCUGUCUGAUACCUCCUUUAGGAGUCUCUCUGCCUGAGUUGGGUGGAGCGGGCCUGCUGCUGUUUGGGGGAGUGUGCAGGUUGCCCAUAUGCAAAAAAGGACAGGAUGCAUGACUGGGCAUGUGAGGUGUUCAGGAAAACCAGGAAAAGGUGGAACAGACUGCUACCUCUGUCUGAAGUUGUUUGGAGGGAAGGCCUCUGGGACAGGGCAUACCUAGCAGUAGCUGGCAAGCCCAUGGGAGAAAAGGCAAGGGGGCAACCAUCUGCCAGGACACAGAGGCCAGUGGAUG